GGUGGAGAGGGGUUAUUGGGCUUUUUUGGGGGUCAUAGCCUCAUCACCAAACCCUCAACCACGUGUUCCAAAAGGGGCAUAUCUCAUCGCCACCGCCAUCUGAUUACCGCCACAACCCUCUCAGGCCAAAACGACUGUUUAAACAUCCACCACCCUCGCUAGGGUUUCGGUAAGGUGUCGACGACGGUUGUUUCCGGCCACACCUGUUCGUAGUGUAUGCUGAAAACCCUAGGAAUUCUACAGUGUAGACACGUUGCAGACAUGUGGCAAGUUCGACUGACAUAAGUUAUACACGUGGCUUUAAAAAAUGUGGCCCGAUAGAAGAGUACAUCACCUUCCAGAUGCUUUGUUAAUAGAUAAAUUAAUGAAGAUUAUUGGAUCAGAUUUCUUUAAAAUAGUGCCAGAGGUGAUAACCACUUCUGUUGUUGCUGCUGGAAAUUAUGCAUUCCAGGUCAAAGCACAGUUACUCCACCCGAACAAAUGUUUGCUACAGGUGAGGAGCUCAAGGCAUUGAAAGGAGAGGCGGAGAAAGAUGGCGAAAAGACAAUAAAGCGAAGGGGCGGUGAUAUCAAAACAAAUAUUUAUCAAGAUGUUUUCUAGCAAGGACAAAGAUAGUAAUAACAGGAGUUCGGAUACAUCAGAGAUUCGUUCGUCAUUCGACGAAUGCUGAGGAAACAAAGUCGUGCACGCCGACAUCGAGGAGCAAGAGGUAUUCUUUAUUGUAGAUCAUGUCUUGUGUAAAUUAGUUGU
RNAcentral lists this long non-coding RNA (750 nucleotides) under Helianthus annuus (common sunflower). Lineage: Eukaryota; Viridiplantae; Streptophyta; Magnoliopsida; Asterales; Asteraceae. The record is from RNAcentral.